Molecule: non-coding RNA, 28 nt
Filed under: Rattus norvegicus (Norway rat)
Lineage: Eukaryota; Metazoa; Chordata; Mammalia; Rodentia; Muridae
Source: RNAcentral
UCCAGUGGCUCAGAAAGGAAACAGGAUC